UUUUUUUUUUGUCUUUUUGUCUUUUUGCCAUUUCUUGGGCCACUGCUGCGGUAUAUGGAUGUUCCCAGGCUAGGGGUCUAAUCGGAGCUGUAGCUGCUGGCCUAUGCCAGAGCCACAGCAAUGCCAGAUCCGAGACGUGUCUGCAACCUACACCACAGCUCACGGCAAUGCCAGAUCCUUAACCCACUGAGCAAGGCCAGGGAUCGAACCCGCAACCUCAUGGUUAUAGUCGGAUUUUUUAACCACUGAGCCACGACGGGAACUCCUGUUUGUAGUUCUAAAAGAGGGCAAUAUUGAAGGUUUUUUAAAACGUUCAAAUAUUGGAGCCGCAGUAAAAUCCUGCUUCUAACAACAUGCAGGGGAAAUGGAAAAGCAGUGAUGGGCAGAACUGUCCCAGGGAGAAGAGCACAGGAGUAUGAAAUGUGAGAGGUUUCUCCUUGGUGAUGCAGGGUCCAAGCAAGUCAGGGCUUCUGAAGGAGGCUGCCUUCAAGGGCUCUGACUUGCAUGCCCUGUGGGCCAAAGCCUGCUUUAGCCACAAGUGUACUAUGCACAGACUGAAAAGGAAAUUCAAGAACAGAGAGAAUGUCGAGUGUGUGGCCGCUGCCAAGAAUGAGAGCCAGAAUCUCCUAGUCAGGCUGCUGCUCGGCCUUUCCUUGUCACGAGGGUGGAGCCCGGCCAGGUGAACCGACCUGACCACCUCCCUGUGUCUGGCUUGUGGAAGCAUGUCCUUGCAGGGCUCUUCAUGGUUCCUCCUCAGCCUGAGGACGCCCAUUGUCACCAAGCCAAGUUGGCAGGCAAAGUUCCUGUCCCACGCAGACACACAGUUUGCAGCUUCCUUGGGAGGGCGACGGGGGUUGGAAGUGGCUCUCUCCAAGCAUUUUCAUCUUAUUUUCGCUUACAAUGCCCAUCCAGCCAGUCCGCAUUGCAUAUGCUCUUUGAGGUCAAGAGGCUUGCAGUAGAAGGUUCUAGGAUGGAGCCACACAGUGUUACUUCAGGCUCAGCACUUGGGCUUAGACUCAAGCUGACUAGGACUGCUAACCAUACCUUGCCUAAUGUCAGGCUGGCCACUAUUGUACGGGGAUGGCAGGCACUAGAGGGGAAGAAUAUUGGCUAAAGGACUUUUGAUGUGCAGGAACUUCCAAAGGGCAAGGUCAGAGCCCUGACUCCUUAGCCAACUCUUGGCCAUAGUCUCCUCAAGAGUAACAUGGGGACAGGACAAGACAAUUUCUAUAGCCCUUUAUGGCUCUGACAUUCUGAGAUAGUAAAGUGAAGAUAAACGUAGGCUGCCACUGUUUAAAAGCCACGUUCUAAGAGGAAAGGGGGAAAGCUAGACCCACUGAAAGUCCUCUCUCUCCUGCUAGGGUCAUAGCACAAGACCUGGAAGUGAUAUAAAUCUCUUCUCGCAUCUUAGAGGGCCCUGACGCAGUGAGCACCUUGUUUAUGGUGCUGGGCGUGGCCAUAAGGCUGAACAUCAGCAUGGAGUCCUGGGUUCCCUUUGCCUUGUACUGACAGGAAACCCAAGGCUCACUUAAAUUCAGGAACUACUUCCCACCUGCCACCACAUGUAGGAUACCAUAUGGAGGACACUGGGUAGUAGGAAAUAUGGUCUCCACCCUCAAGGAGAUUUCUAGCUAACCUGAGCUUCUUUAGCUACACAUCACUCCUCCUUUUGCUUUACUUCUUUACUUUUUUUUCCUUUACUUUUUUCUUUUUACUCCUUUACUUCCAGGCCUUUGUACAUGUUAUGCCCUUGGCCUGAAACACUCUCUUUAUCCCGCUAUUGCUAGGACUUCUAUGGGGAGCAAUGCAGGUUGCAUACUGCAUAAUUCCAGACCACCUUACUUAGAUGUGAAUCAUGCCCUCAGAAAUGCACAGUGAACAACCUGUACAGCUGAACUGCAUGGCUUUGACUGCCACCUCCACCUCAUUUCUCCUAACUGGGGGUAACUCACAGCCAUCUCAGUUUUCAACAUAGUCACUACCUUUCCUUCUUUCCUUCUUCCUCUCCUCUUUCCCUCUCUCCCUUUCUUCCUAUAUCUCACAAUUUCUGAGCACCUACUAUAUGUCAGGACUGUGCAAGGAGUGGGUAUACAGUUGUACCAAAACAGAUAAGGUCCACUUCCCUCUUGUGAAGUAUUUAUAUUCUUCUUCCUCCAGGAAGCCUUCCCUUACUGCACCCAUGAUUGAAUCUAGUGCCUACUGAUUGACUGGGGACCUUUUACUUAGAACACAGUGACUCUGGUCUGGAGAGAAUCUGAGAAGGACAAGCAGGGUUGAGGAGACUAACCUGAAGCCCUGAAACUGACGGUGCUGGUGCUCCAUCCCUUCCAGCUUCCUGUCCUUGGGAGCACCCUGGGGGCAUCUGUGAAGCUCAUUAGUGAAGCAGCGAUUAACGUGAGGCCCAGAGCAUGGCUUCCCCCUGCCAGGGAAGCCACAAAGUUCCAGAACAUCCUAGGGAGGAAUGGAGCACCACCCAGGCCUGCCUCCUGGGGCUGCAAAACAAUCCCUAAUGAGUCCUCUCCAGGGGAGGGUGAAGUCACCUGCAAGGAGGCCGCUAAGCCUCAGGUGUUCUCCAGGAGGCUUAAAAUAGCCGGGUUCCCUCCACAAACACCUUCCAACACUGUUUAGGAUGGUGAAUGCCAGGAAACUAAUGAAUCUGAGCUUAGAGAAUUAAUUGUUGAUGAAAUAAUGUGAAUAGUGUGCUUCCUGUUCAUCAGUCUCUACAGAAAUUAAUUAGCCCUGCUUGGCAGCGAGCAGGAUCAAAUUUUCGACUUAAUUUAUGAAUUUGGCCAAAUUGUCUAUGGGAAGUCUUGCCUGGAGGACCUUCCGUGGCUGCUUCGUGUCCAGACAGGCCUUGCCUUUCGUAGAAGACAUGACUGCUUUAAGAGAGUCCCAACAAGAGAGGAGGAUGGUGGAGGAGGGCAGAGGGGAAGGUUUGAGCUUUGACUGUGAAGCUCGAUGUAGACCUGCACUUCCCCAGUCUUCCUGCCUCAGCCCUCUCUCCCCGCUGGACCCUUCAUCUGAACAAGGUCUGUUAGCUUGAACAGAGCAGCGAUGACUCAAAGCAACGGGCCUGACUUUCAGGCAUGGCCUGACUUCACAUUUAAUUAUUCUGUGCUGUGUGCACUAACUCAAAUUGCAGGAUGAUGGGAAAGAAAAAUAAAUCCAAUGAGCAGUGGGGUGGGUUUUUUUUUUUUUUUUAACUAUUUUAAAAUAGGGAGAAGGGAAGGAACUUCUUGGGCCUGGUGGGAUCAAUUUGAGGAACAGGCUGGCACAAGGCAUGAAUUAACACCUUGGUCCUAUAUGCCCAGGAAUGAAGCACAGACCUGCUGGCUAUGGAGUGUUCUGUCAGCUUUUGUCACCACAGGAGUCAGACUCUCUGACUGCAGCCUGUACUGAUUGGAAUCCCAACCAGACUUUCCCCACUGAGCAGCAGAAUCUGAUGUACACCUAUCAGCAGAAUGACUUGAGUGUCGCCAGUCUCUGAAACAUUUCAGACAGAGUGAAUGACUGAGUACCUGUGUGUGUACAUGCUUUUUUAUGUUGCUGAAACACCAGUUUUCUCAUGAAAAAGCCUGAGAGCCAGUGAGUUAAAACAGGGGCACAGGGGAUAAGGGGAUGUGGUACGAUCUAACUGAACACCUCUGGCCAGCCUCAGGAGUCAGGAAAGGAUGAGCCCUUGGGGUCAUUUCCACUCCUUAGAAUUAUUCAGUAAUUCACACGGCAUUCUAGGCAGGGGGGAUACAUCAGGGAACCAGGUAAUCAAGGCCAUGCUCCCAUGAAGCUUAUUUUCUCUUAGGAGCACAGACACAAGUUAUCAGCAUCUGGUUUCUGAUUCUGUUAAAACGUAGGCUUGUUAACACUUAAUUACAGACCACAUUACUAAACUCUGAGUUCUUGUAUUAGUUUCUGUUUUUAAAACAAAAUGCACAUUGCCUAGUAGACACAUACACUAUCACCUCCCUUGCACACUUGGCUAUUUAAAUUCCUUUUUGUACCAAUGCCCUCAAAUUUAGUCCUGAAUGGUUGUGAUCCUCCAAAGGGAGCCAGGAUCAGCAGCCGAUUCAGGGUGUAGUAAGCAGGGGAAGAAGCCUGUUUGCCCAUGACAUUGGCCAUGGGGGGUGAUCGCUUGGGUCCCUGAGAGGCACACCCUCGUAGGUCUGGGUUCCCUGAGAAUUAAAUCGGCUCAGGCUGCAUAGGAGGACUCACUUGGGCACUGACCUGCUGCGAUGGUCAGGAAGAGCAUCUUAGAGAGAGAAUGUUGGAACCCGAGCAAGUGCCUAACCUCCUCCCUGUAGGCGUUUGCAGCUGCAACCAGACCACCCUUCCCUUUAGGAAUUUGUGAUGUUAUUACCAGCUCGCUCUGUGACCUCAGGCUGUGUCUGCCCUUUGCUUACCUUUGUUCUCCAACUGCCAGGUAUGUAAUUCCAUGGUUCCCUCAGGUAGCUUCUGGGGAGAGGGUAGAUUGCAUAAACAAAGGUGUGUGAGGGACAGCGCCAGCCUGAGAGCUAGGCAAAGCAGUGGGAUGUGCUGGAGAACCGAAGCGCGCGGUCUUCCUUCAGCCCAGGUUUCCGCUCAACUGAGUCACUGCUCCUUAAUGAAUGUCCUUUGCUUUCUUCUCCUCAAGUUACCUGAACUGCUAUUCCCCAGUUUCGCAGGCUGAAUGCCUCUCAGGCCCCACUCACAUGCUAGCCCACCUCCCAAAGGAAGUCAUUUUCAUUUCUUCCUCCUUUCUGGCCUCACACAGCUCUUGAAAUGCAGCCAUUUGUGUGUUAUCUCGCCUACAAAUGUCAAAGUCCUCAAAGGAAAAUCUGUGCAUUCUCAACUUUUUUUUUUUUUUUUUUGGUCCCCUAUAGUCUUCACACUGAAGAGGGACUCAGUACGUGUUUAUUCUGUGUCUAUUCCACCCUGGGAACAUUCAUGGACAAAUUACUGUUUAUAGCAAAUGAUGAGAUUUAAUGAAAGAGGUCUGAAUGUGAAGGCCAAUUGUGCUGAAUAUUCAAAAUUUUCUCUGUGCCGAAAGCAAAUAAGGAGAGUGAUCCUCUUUGGUGUCCCAUCACCCAGAAAUGUGAUUUAGUAACAAGGCUCUCCAUCUUCCCCCACCCUUCAUUCUUUCUGCAUUUUAUAUAUUACUCCAGCAUAGACAGAGACCAGGGGGUGAUAGUGAGGGCCAGGAGACCAGGGUUCAAAUCCCAGCUGUGCCCCUUACUAGCUAAAGGC
Molecule: long non-coding RNA, 5220 nt
Filed under: Sus scrofa (pig)
Lineage: Eukaryota; Metazoa; Chordata; Mammalia; Artiodactyla; Suidae
Description: lncRNA (ENSSSCG00000062080.1, ENSSSCG00110014603.1)
Source: RNAcentral